CUACACUUGCGGCGCUCUGGUGCCCGCGCGCGGUAUCGCGCCGCGCGCAGUUAAACGGGAAGCAGGGAGCGAAGUCCUCUCCGGACGAGCCAACCUGCGCUGUCCUCGCAACGGUACAACGACCGCAGAUCCUGCAGGUCGACCCAUGCACGCGUCGAACCGUCUGUGUGUUCGAACGCCGUGCGAGAAGCCACUGCGCGCUUGCGCGCGGGAAGGCGGGUCGGCAAGUCGUCAGCCCGGAUACCGGCCAGAGGCAAGGGGCGCGU
Molecule: non-coding RNA, 266 nt
Filed under: Burkholderia sp.
Lineage: Bacteria; Pseudomonadati; Pseudomonadota; Betaproteobacteria; Burkholderiales; Burkholderiaceae
Source: RNAcentral